This 253-nucleotide ribosomal RNA is filed under the name uncultured bacterium. RNAcentral describes it as "partial 16S ribosomal RNA". It matches the Rfam family "Bacterial small subunit ribosomal RNA", at positions 524 to 776 of the family's 1533-position model. The record is from RNAcentral.
UACGGGGGGUGCGAGCGUUGUCCGGAAUCACUGGGCGUAAAGGGCGCGUAGGUGGUUUGAUAAGGGUGUGGUGAAAGCCCGGGGCUCAACCCCGGGUCUGCCGUGCCGACUGUCAAACUCGAGGGCUGUAGAGGCAGACGGAAUUCCGGGUGUAGCGAUGGAAUGCGUAGAGAUCCGGAGGAAGACCGGUGGCGAAGGCGGUCUGCUGGGCAGUUUCUGACACUGAUGCGCGACAGCGUGGGGAGCAAACAGG